GUGACAUCACAUAUAUGGCGAC
RNAcentral lists this microRNA (22 nucleotides) under Bos taurus (domestic cattle). Its description in RNAcentral is "bta-miR-489". Its record names the gene bta-miR-489. Lineage: Eukaryota; Metazoa; Chordata; Mammalia; Artiodactyla; Bovidae. The record is from miRBase by way of RNAcentral.